Non-coding RNA from Pelobates cultripes (western spadefoot toad), 170 nucleotides. The record is from the annotation of a GenBank genome assembly. NCBI's taxonomy places the organism in Eukaryota, Metazoa, Chordata, Amphibia, Anura, Pelobatidae.
AGAAGAAAGGGGGGGGAGAGGGAAAAGGGAGGAUUAUACACUUCAAACAGUACUACAAGAUUCCAAAUAUAUAUAGCUAACACAGCCUCAUCCUUGGAAUCUUGUAGUACUGUUUGAAGUGUAUAAUCCUCCCUUUUCCCUCUCCCCCCCCUUUCUUCUUGCCUCCGAUC